Molecule: non-coding RNA, 878 nt
Organism: Camellia sinensis
Lineage: Eukaryota; Viridiplantae; Streptophyta; Magnoliopsida; Ericales; Theaceae
Source: RefSeq, a predicted model, not a curated record
UUGGUUGCAUAGUUUUCAAACCUUUUGUUGCUCAGGAUUUUGCUUCUUCGCUCGAGCGGCACUUCUUGUGCUCGAGGGGGCUUGGUGAACUGUCAGUACUUUUGCAGGUCAAUAAAACUACUGAGAGAGUGUAUUCUACGCUCGAGCGCCGUUUCCUACACUCGAGCGGGUGGGUGCUCGAGCAGCCUUUCUUGCACUCCAACGUUGGCCUACUGUCUGCAAAACUACUGGGAGUGUGCAUUCUAUGCUCGAGCGACACUUUUUGUGCUCGAGCGAACAAUUUAUUGUGUUUAACGCUUGAGUGUCAACUUUGGGGCUCAAGCGGACUAUGCGUAUAUCAGUUCAUAACAACCACUUUUUACAUCAUUUUUUCAUCUCUUUCUCUCUCUAAAACAUUUCAAAAUCCUAGAUCUUGAGCUUCUCUUUCUAAAGCUCACAUUCUCGUUACAUUUUCACCUAGAUCUGUUGGUUUCUCUACCCUAGUGUCUUUGGAAAAAAAGGUAGAGCAUCUUAAGAGCUCCAUUUUGAUUCGAACAAAAGUCAGUUUCAACGUCUUUGAAGUUUUCCCCUUGCUUGCUCAUCUUCUAACUUUGAGGUGCUGGUGAUAUGCCUCUGCUAAGGACUUAGCUUGGGAGGAUUGUGGCGCUGAAGGCUCACUUUUGUUUACUUUGUAUUUAUCUUUUGUGCAAGCUUAGGACUUUAUUUGUAUUGAGCUUAUGACUCAUUUUGUUGUAACCAAGCAUGGUCUUGGAAAGAUGUAAGCCAUUAGGGCAUAUGACUAUCUGUUUAGCUUCCAUUCUUUAUUUCAUCUUGUAACACAUGCUGUAGAUUCAGGAUGAAUGAUUUAUGAAUGUAUAUCACAUGUGUCAUCUUUUGUA